This 271-nucleotide ribosomal RNA is filed under the name uncultured bacterium. Its description in RNAcentral is "partial 16S ribosomal RNA". It matches the Rfam family "Bacterial small subunit ribosomal RNA", at positions 333 to 621 of the family's 1533-position model. The record is from RNAcentral.
UUUUUCCUACGGGGGGCAGCAGUGGGGGAUAUUGCACAAUGGGGGGAACCCUGAUGCAGCGACGCCGCGUGGGUGAAGAAGCGCCUCGGCGCGUAAAGCCCUGUCAGCAGGGAAGAAAAUGACGGUACCUGAAGAAGAAGCCCCGGCUAACUACGUGCCAGCAGCCGCGGUAAUACGUAGGGGGCAAGCGUUGUCCGGAAUUACUGGGUGUAAAGGGAGCGUAGGCGGGAAAGCAAGUUGAAUGUUUAAGGUACGGGCUCAACCUGUACAA